This 71-nucleotide transfer RNA is filed under the name Alligator sinensis (Chinese alligator). It matches the Rfam family "tRNA". Rfam says of the family: Transfer RNA (tRNA) molecules are approximately 80 nucleotides in length. Their secondary structure includes four short double-helical elements and three loops (D, anti-codon, and T loops). The record is from Rfam by way of RNAcentral. Lineage: Eukaryota; Metazoa; Chordata; Crocodylia; Alligatoridae.
GCUGGCGUGGUUCAGUGGUAGAAUCCUUGUCUGCCACACAGGAAACCUGGGUUGGAUUCCCACCAGGUGCA